RNAcentral lists this long non-coding RNA (6804 nucleotides) under Nicotiana benthamiana. RNAcentral's name for it is "long non-coding RNA (NBEN_LNC025737)". The record is from RNAcentral. Lineage: Eukaryota; Viridiplantae; Streptophyta; Magnoliopsida; Solanales; Solanaceae.
AAAGAAGGAAUGAAUGUAACCUGAUUUUGAGAGACUCGUAAUCCUCCCAAGUGGCUUGAUUUGGGACUGCUUUAUCCCAUUGAACUAGCACCUGUGCGAUGGCCUUGUUCCCUUUCUAUAUCAGUUUUCUAUUGAGAAUUUGUUGGGGUUGAGGACAAUACGGGCUGGACAUAUCUAUUACUUGUGGAUGGGAAAUUAUGUCAGGUAGUUUAUAGCAUGGUUUCAACUGUGAUAUAUGGUGUAGUAGGAUCAAAUGGGCAUGUACAGCUUGGAGAAGCGAGUUCUCGAGAGUGUCACUUGUCUGUAAGAUUGUAUCUUGAGGUAAACCCAAUCCCCCUCUUUAUAUUGUCUAUCGUUUCUAUGUUCAUUAGCUUGGUCAUUCAUUUCUGCUGUGCCCUCUACAAGUGGUACUGCAACAGCUGGUACUAGAAUUCCAUUAUUAACAGGCUUUUGUCUACUUCUUCUAUAACUGAAUCACCUUCCAUGUAAGGUAAGUGAAAUGGUGAGGGUUGGCCAUAAAGGCCCAGUCUGAAUUGAGGAAUGAAAUGUGGUGUUAUACCACCACUCAGCUGCUACUAAGUAAGAAAGCUAACCCUUUUGAGAGUUAGAACAAAAACACCUAAGGUAGGUCUGUACAUCAGACUGUGGAUGGUAUGCUGUAGAAGUGCUAAGUGUGACACCACUCAUAGAGAAAAACUCAUGCGACAGUUUGCUAGUGAAUAUGGUAUUCCUAUCUCUCACUAUGUCCUCUAGCAUGCCAUGCAGCCUGAAAACAUGUUCCAUAAACAACCUUGCAAUGUCAGUAACAGUAUAAGGGUGAGCCACACCUAUGAAUUGAUGAUACUUGGUUAACCUCUCUACCAUCACUCAUAUCAUUGUCUUCCCCUUAGCUUUUGGCAACUGCUCAAUGAAAUCUAUGCUUAUACUACUCUAAGCCAGUGAGGGUAUUUUAAGUGGUUGCAACAAUCUUGGGUAAGACACUUUCUCAUACUUGUGUCUCUGAAAGAUGUUACACUUCUUGAAAUAUGUUUGAACAUCUUCCUUCAAUCCUCUCCAAUAAAAGAGAGCAACUAUCCUUCUAUAAGUGUGAUCUAUGCGAAAUGCCAGGCGAGUCAUGCAAUAGUUUCAUGAUAUCCUCUCUUAAUUGUUCAUAAAGCCCUAUCACUAACUUUCCAUUUCAUCUUAACUAAUUAUGCACAAAAGAGUACCCCUUAGAUUCUACUCCUUCCUUGUUAAGGUCUUUAAUAAAGUCCAUUAGCUCAACAUCCAACUCCUAGCUCUCCAAAAUCUGACUUAACAAGUCAGUCUUAAUGGUAGAGAGCGAUAAAGCUACCAACUCUACCAUUGGUAAUCUCGAUAGGGAAUCUACCACCUUACUCUCCUUUCACUUUUUGUACUCAAUUAUAAAGUCAUAUUGCAUGAGCUUGGUUAUCCAUUUCAACUGAGACCCUGUGUGCAACUUUUGUUCAAGAAUGAAUUUCAGAUUUUACUACCAUUUUUGUGAGACAUCAUUUAAUAUUUUAACAAAUUAUCCACCAAACAUUAAUAGCAAAAUAAUAUUCAAUAGCAUAUAACCAAGCUGUUCUAGUUAGUCCUUUUUCAUUUCUGUAGUGAUGUGGUACCAGACGAUCAUUUAUAAUAACAUCCAAAUUGUUACGCGGUGCCUUCUUGAGAUCCCUUGGAAGGGUGAUGUAAGGGUAAGCAACUGAUGUCAGUGCAGUUACUAUCUGCCAAUUGAGAUCCCCUCCGUGCACUAGAUGAGAUUGUCAGUGUUGUACAUGAAAACCAAUGUCAAGAGUAAUUGAGAGAAAAUAAAUGAGAAUUGAGAAUGAAAAAAAUCUUGAUUGCAUUAAUGAAAGCUGUUACAGAAAAGCAACAGUGUCGAAGGGGAGAUAUACGAGUACAAAGAAUUAUUUGCUUGCUAGAAAGUUUUAUUGCUUGAUCCCCCAUAAUAGUGCUUAAAAUAAAUAAUCCAAAGUUACAAGACUAGAUCUAACUAAGUUAGAGGAACAUAAUGAAAGUACAUGAAAUAAAAAUACUCUAUAUUUAUAAUGAAAAGGACUUAGCUUUCUACAAGGUAGAAAUGGGUCUAUUGUUAGCACCCUUGUCUUUGGCAUCACAGUAUACGCAUGCGGUGCUAUUAGCAUCAGCCUGCGGUUAGGUGGGGAGGUAUAUCGGUGGGGUGACAAAGGCAUAUGCGCGCUUGUCACAUGGUGUAGCCAAGACCACGGGGCGUCCGUGGUAUUAGGCAUUGGUAAGCUUGCUAGGACUCCACGGGGCACGUCCAAGGGCUGAUGGAGCAUAGCUGGAAAGUAGCCCAUAACAUUCUCCCCCACCCGAGUUGGUGACGUCCUCGGUGCCUUACUUGCAGGAUAAUAAUCAAUUAAGCUCUUGUAGGCUUUGAGAUUUGUUACCCUCUCCCAAGUAUUCUCCUCUACAUCACAACCCUGUUAUUUCACCAAGAACUCUUGGUGAUCUUUCCUUGAGACGUGAAUCACUUGAUCAUCAAGAGUAGCUUCAGAACACCUUUUCCCCAUUGAAUUGGGGCCUCAAAUACUUGGUAUUGUGAGUUGGCUCCGUGAAGGAUCCUCCAUGUCUUCCUGAAAAGGUUUCAGAAGACUAACAUGGAAGACAUGAUGGAUUUUCCACCAUGAUGGGGUAUCCAGCCGGUAUGAAACUUUCCCAAUGCGCCUUUCAAUGGACAGAGGUCAAAUGUAUUUUUGUAAUAGGCAGGGGUCAUGGACCUCUACAAACAAGUAUCACUUUGGAAUUUUGACUAUCACUUUGUCUCAUACUUGGUAUUCAACAAAGUGAUGAUUUUGAUCGACAUGAUUCUUCAUCCAUUUUUGGGAUUUGAGAAAGCUAGCAGCUCGAGGAGAUUUUGACAUGUUUAGUGCAUUCACGGUAUGUGGGAGUAGCAGUUGUUGUCCGGUAAAAAUUUCAAAAGUGCUUUUAUUUACACUAGAUCUCUUUUGUGAAUUGAACACAGUUGAGCAACAUUCAGAAGCUUCACCCAGUCCUUCUGCGAUCCAGUUACAAAGAGAUAUUCCUCCAACAUUCCAUUGAAGCGCUCCAUCUGGACAACAAAUAGCAAAUGAAAACUUGAGCUAUGACUCAGUUUUAACCCAAGGCACUUAAAGAGUUGGGUCCAAAAGUUGCUAGUGAAGCAUGAGUCGUGACCACUAAUAAUGUCUUUAGGAAGGCCCCAAUAUUUGACGACAUGAGAGAAGAAGAGUCGACCUGUAUCCUCUGCUAAGAUAUAUUGUGGAGCUGCUAUAAAGGUAGCAUACUUGGAAAACCGAUCUACCACAACCAACAUAGUUGUGAGAUCUCUAACCUUGGGAAAUCUGAUGAUGAAAUCCAGGGAAACACUUUCCCAAGGUCUCUUUAGGACAGCUAGUGGUUCCAAGAGUCCCUCUUGUGUCAAGCGAUCCGACUUGUCCUUCUUGCAUACUUGACAAGUCUUCACAUACUGAGCGAAAUCAUUAGCCAUUUGAGGCCAAUAAUACGCACAACAUAGUAAUGAAGUGGUGCGGUUUUCACUGGGAUGGUUGGCCCACAAAGUAUCGUGACAUUCCGCCAGAAGAGUCCUUCACAGAUCUCCUCCUUUUGGAACAUAAAUUCGGUUCUCUUUAUCUUUUAAGAAACCAUAUUCCAAGUAGAACUGGCGAGUCUUGACCUUUCGUACCAAAUCAACCAAAUAAUGUGCUACACGAUCCUUAAUGAGUAGAUCAUGUAUCUGGUCUUUGAUAGUGGUGGCUACUUCAUUUCCUCUUAAGGUGGCGAGUAGGCAUAGCGAUGCUAGGUCAGCUCUCCGACUGAACAUAUCAACAACAUGAUUGGUCUUCCCACUUCAAUACUCUAGGUUGAAGUGGAAAUGCGCUAGGAGUUCCUACCACUUGGCCUGGCGACCAUUCAGCUUUGGCUGGGUCAUGAAAUGGCUAACAACGAUGUUGUCUGUCUCGACCAUGAACGAGGUUCCUAGCUGAUAGUGCCUCCAAAGUUGUAAGAAAUGGAAAACAUUUGAUAAUUCUUUCUCUUGGGCGACAUUGCGCCGCUCUGCAUCCUUUGGCUUCCAUCUCUCAUGCACUACAAGAUGCCCUUCUUGUAGCAACACUCCACUAUGGCAUAGUCAGAGGAUCUAUUUUUACCUCGAAUGGCUUGGCCAAGACAUGGAUACUAGACAUAUCCACUUUUAAUGCGUUGAAGGCCUCCGCUCACCUGGGUCCCCAAUCCUAAGGCAUAAUCUUCUUGAGGAGUUAUGUCAAUGGCACUGCGAUGAGGGAGUAAUUUUUCAUAAAUUGUCGAUAGAAGUUGCGUAGUCCAAAAAAUGCCCUUAAGGCGUGGAUAUCCUUAGGCGGUGGCCAACAUGUGAUAGCCUGAAUCUUCUGUUGGUCCAUCUUCAUCCACCCUUUCUCUAUGACACUGAGGAAGUCAAUAAGUUAUUUAGCAAAAGAGCACUUGGACAACUUCACAUAUAGUUUUUGCUCCCGCAAUUGAGGUAAGAUCUUCUGCAAGUACUCUAGGUUUUCUUCAAGUGUUUGGCUAUAUACCACAAUAUCAUCCAAGUAGAUCACCACGAAAUCUCCAAUGUAGCCUCGGAAGACUUGGUUCAUCAUGGUGCAAAAUGUGGCCGGAGCAUUAGUUAAGACGAACGACAUAACCUGGAAGUCAUACGACCCAUAUCUUGUCACACAAGUCGUCUUGUGCUUAUCACCCUUUGCCAUCCGAACUUCCAACCACUUGUCUUCAGGUCUAUCUUGGUGAACACCUUUGCACCACCCAGUCUAUCUAAAAGUUUUCCAUUAGCGGAAUAGUGUACUUAUUCUUCAUGGUUAUUUUGUUUAUAGCCCGAUAAUCCACAAAGAGUCGCAUGCUUACAUCAUGUUUCUUUCUGAAUAGCAUAGGGGACCCAUAUGAGGACUUGGAGGGCACGAUGAUCCAUGUGUCUAGCAUUCCCGUCAACUAUCUCCGAAGCUUGGUAAGUUUAGGUUGUGACAUUCUGUAAUGUGCCUGAAUGGGUGGCAUCACGCCCGUCACCAACUCAAUCUCAUGGUCCACAGUGCGCCUAGGCGGGAGUCUCUUGUGGCAUGACAUCUUCAAACUCUAGUAGCAGCUCCUUCACAGGUACAACAAUAGGACCCAAGGAGCGUUCUAUGUCUUCAAUGUAGAGUGUUUCCAAGAACGUAGGUUCAUAUAUUUUGAACCAUUUCUUCAACUGCAAGGUCGAGAUGUUCUCAACGACCAUCAUUAUGGGCAUGCAGGGCUUCUCCCCUUUUGUUCCUAUCAUCAGUAGCAUGUCUGCAUAUGGUACGGGCAUGGUGUUUGUUUGCAAUAGGAAUUCCAGUCGGCAUAUCAACUCAAAGUCAUCUGUGAUCACCACUCACAGGUUGAAUUUUCCUUUGUAAGGGUCAAGCUUCACUGGUACCUCUUUGGAUAUCCACCCACUGGUUGAGGAGGUGAGUUGAUAGCCUUGACACGACCUCUAAUCUUUCCUACAACUAGGCCAAGGCACUCUAACUGAGUUGAGGCUAAGUGGUUGUGGGUAGCACGCGUAUCUAUGGGAUUGCCAUUUACCUUAAUUUCGACGAACAUUAAGGUCCUCUCUUGUUUAAGAGGAGUCCUCUCAUCCGCCUUCUUUUUCCCUUUAUUGGUGAUUGGAUAUGGGUCCUUCUUCUUACAGAUACUAUCACCGGUUCCCGCUAAGGCAUCAGAAAUAGAGCCAACAAUUGCAUUGAAAGCACCUACUAGUUCCGUCUGGUCCGCAUCAUCUGUGUCGUCAUUUGUCCCAUCAUCAAAAGCUUGAUGGGAGUUUAUCUGUGCAUGUGGGAAUUCAUUAUUCUAAAGUGGUCCACCUCAAUGAAGACAUUCUAAAAAGGGCUUUCUCCCCCCAUCAUUAUUGUUUGACACAACACUAUUGUUGCCUGAAGAGGGAGAUUUAACUUGGUUGCACUCCGAUCUCCCCAACUUCUACUAGGGCCACCAUUGCUAGGCUAUCCCCUUUUGUAUCCCACUCGGGCAGGAGGUUGAGGCCUAUCCUUCUAAGCUUCCACUUGAUAGUCCCAAAGGCAUUCAACUGCUUGGAUCACCUUGGGUAGGGUAUCUAUACCCUUUUUCUUUGUAUCUCCAUACGAGCAUAAGGUUUCAACCCUUCCAAGAAGGUGAAGUGUUUGUCUUUGUCCCCAUGUCACGUAUGUUCAACAUGAGCAUAUAGAAUUUUUGCACAUAGUCCCGUACUAAUUUGGUCUGGCAUAGCUACAGUAGCUUUCUCCUUGUAUUGUAUUCAACAUUUUCGGGGAAGAACUGUAGGUGUUUGUAUGCCGUUAGUUCUGCCUGUGUCUCGAGAAAUUCUUUACUGGCCUUGUACUUCACCCGCCACCAGAGUUUAGCAUCAUCUUGAAGAUGCAUGACAGUUGUUGCUACCUUCUUAGCUUCUUUUAGCCCCCCACGACAUUAAAGUACUGUUCGAUGUCAAAGGUGAUGUUUUUUGCUUUUUUGGCAUUCAAGAUCCAUUGUAUUGCUUUGGCUCAGGAAUCUUUUUGUGUUGCGGGAGAGAGGUUCAUAACACCCCCAAAUUUAUUUCCGCCUCCUCAAUGCAGGCUUUGUAAAGUAGCAUUGACAACAUUGAGCUGGCCUGUCAAGUUGUCUAUAGUUUUGUUAGGUUACAAGUACUCUACUUUAUAUUUUUAUGAUCUAACAAACUUACUAUCCAGAACUAGAUAAGGAACCUGUUACAUAUUUACAAGACAUCAAGAUGACGAGAUCCUGGGAUGUGAUUCAAUGGAGAAUAUGAUUCAACUCUUC